Molecule: long non-coding RNA, 4975 nt
Organism: Eriocheir sinensis (Chinese mitten crab)
Lineage: Eukaryota; Metazoa; Arthropoda; Malacostraca; Decapoda; Varunidae
Exons: 2
Source: RefSeq, a predicted model, not a curated record
AGUGAUGAAAAGGGGGAAGUAGAGGGAGAAAUAAUGAACGGGCGAAGAGGGAAAGCAAAGGAAGGGAGAAGGGAAAGUGAUGAGAGAGAGAGAGAGAGAGAGAGAGAGAGAGAGAGAGAGAGAGCACUGUCACUCGGUCAACACGGAAGCGGAUAAAGUAAGUAGACUGUCUUACUUCCUGAAUCUGUGUGUGUGUGUGUGUGUGUGUGUGUGUGUGUGUUGCGAUGUCACAUUUCACCAAGUGGACCCAAGAAAAAGAUUAAUAGAGGUGGGGGAGAGGAGUUGCUGACAGAGGAUGGAGGAGGAGAAGAGAAGAAGGGGAAAGAAGCAGGAGGUGGAGGCGGAGAAGGAAGAAAAAGAAGAAUAAAGUAACCAAAUGGAAAGAAAAGGAAGAAAAUAAGAAAGAUAAAUACAACCAUGAAAUAUUGUUGGGAGAUUAAAAAGAAUAUACAAAACAAUAAAGAUAAUGGCAAUAAUAAUAGUAAUACCAUCAACGACAAGGACAACGAUAAGAAUAGGUGAAGAUAAUGACAACUCCCAGACAACGAAUCCCAUCGAGGAAUUCUAAGAUGCUGAGUCACACACACACACACACACACACACGGCCAACCAACGAGCCAGCCAGGGAGGGAGGGAGAGAGGGAACCACCACGCACCCAUCUCUCUCUCUCUCUCUCUCUCUCUCUCUCUCUCUCUCUCACUGUCGCCAUCUCGUCUCCUACCCACUCUUGGCACCAGUAAGACGAGUGUUUAUGGCUGCAAGGGAGAACUGAUGACAAAGGGUGUCACUUCGCAUGUGGGCCAGAAUGCACGCGGAAGGAAAUGGACGUGGCCGUUUGACAUUAAUAAGGACAAUAUGCUCAAACGUUUCGGCGCCCAUCAAACACUUCACAAGGGUAUCGUAGAAUUUCUGGGUAUUUCCAUGAGUUGUUUUAUGGCCCCGGUGGUAGUCUGACUUUUUCUUUACCAUUAACCCGGCAGCAGCGGGGACCAUGUUUCUAAAUGGUCCUUCUAAGCGAGAAAAAUGAGAAAAAAUCACCACUCGCACAAACCAUUUCAUAGUACAUAUCAAAGCAUUUGCGAUCAGUUUAUGCAUCAUCUAUUUUGGAGGGUUUAUAUCAUGGCACAAAUUUGGAUCGUCGCUGAAACACGGGAAAGCCACGAAUUUGGCCCGUCGCUGCUACCGGGUUAACUCCCUCCCCCCAUCCCACCUCCCAAAAGAGCCCAGUAGAACCGAUUGAUCUUCUUUUCGGCCUUUGGAACUAGUUGAUGUGAAAGGCGUAAGCGUUUGAAAAUACCGACCUAAGAUCUGUAAGGUUUGCGAUGACUGGUGUAUAUGUAAAACUAAGGCAAUAUAAGUAGUGGUCAAUUUCUACUAUGACUGAUUUCUUAAAGAGGCUACAUAAAAGUUAUAUCAGGAGAUUCAAUAAAAAAAGAAAAUAAGUAAAGUUAUAUCAGGAGAUUCAAUAAAAAAAGAAAAUAAGUAAAGUUAUAUCAGGAGAUUCAAUAAAAAAAGAAAAUAAGUAAAGUUAUAUCAGGAGAUUCAAUAAAAAAGAAAAUAAGUAAAGUUAUAUCAGGAAAUUCAAUAAAAAAUGAAAAUCAGUAAAGUUAUAUCAGAAUUAAUAAAAAAAGAAAGUAAGUAUAGCGUAAAUGAAUGGUUUUGCAUCUCGAUUUACGCAUUUAUUUCCAGAACCAGCCGCGUAAUUUAAAACAAAAAAUCGGUAAGAAUCGUAAGUAUUGUAAGUAUUCAAGAGGGUUUUGCAGCUCGAUUCAUGUGUUCAGAUUUUCUAAAGGGGCCGCGUAAAAAUUCUAUCGUGUAAUUCAAAUAUAAUAGAAUAUGUAUGGAGAGCAAAUGAAGGGUUUGUAGUUAAUAAUAGCCAUCAGUCUCUUAAACACUGUUGCCAGCACGGAAAACAAAGCGACCUGAUAAAAGCUACCGCUGGGUUGUUGAUGACCUACUUUCCGUAAAUAGUAUUAAUGGCCACUAUGAUGCAGGAGUUUAAUAGCAAUCAGUCUCUGUAAUAUUGUUGCCAACACAGAAAAAGUGACCUACAAAAGUUACUUCCGCCUUGAUGAACCUUUUGCCACACACUAUUAAUGACUAUUGUAUAACGAAGGAGUUUAAUUGACAUCAUUCUCUGUAAUAUUGUUGCCAGCACGGACAAGUCAACCAGGAAAGCUACAAUCGAGUUAUAUAACAUUGUUGUCACCACGAACAAGACCAGGAAAGCUACAAGACAACCAGGAGAGCUACAAUCGUAUUAUAUAAUAUUGUUGCCAACACGGACAAGACCAGGCCUGCAGAGAAGUAACAAUCGUGUUCAUGUGUUGGGGUUCGUUUCUUAAAACACUAUUAAUAUUCCCUGUAUAGUGCUUUUUAGGUAAGAAAUUUGAGAAAACCAUGCGAUAAAUCUUUUUUUUUUUGUGUGUGUGUGAUGGGUCGAAAACCUAACUGUUAUAGAUUGUAUGGGAUUGUAGAGUUUGGCUCGGGCAGUUACAAAGAAACUGUGUUGAACCGCGUGGAAUUAACUCGUGAUCUACAGGAAGGAUCCCCCAGCUCAUGGACACCGUGGCAGCUCUUCCGGGGUCGUUUCUCCCAAGGUGACAAUGGUACAGGAGAUGAUGAACCUUAGUCUCCUACACGAUUGAAAGGCCGCUCACUUAAAAGUGUUUGGUUUGGGGGCUUACAAACUUGCUGUGCCAAACUGUGAAACUGGCCGCAUAUUUAAGACCAUUAUAGCUCUUUCAGGCAGGAGACAAGAGUAAUCGUAAUCUGUCUCUAUAGUAAAGGACGCCAAGACGACCAUGAAAAACCGUCACUGUGUUGAUGUGUUGGCCUUGCAAAAAAAAAAAAGUGCAAAACAAUGGGUAAAGUUAUAUAAAUUCAGGUUAAGGAGAGCGGGAGAACUAGUUUACAAAUAGGGGAAGUGGACGAAGGGAAAGAAGUUAGUAGUCAUGUAGAUGGUGCAAAUACGACUGAGGGUUUCAAAUGGAGGUUAUAAAUAUGGUCGGUAUUAUAAAACACCUUCGCUUCUCACAUCAGCUAUUUCUAAAGGUCAAAGAGGGGGUCAGUCGGGUUCUAAUGAAUGUUUCUUUAGGUUCACGGUACAGAAGAAGGGUCAAUCUACCACCAGGGUCUUCAAACUACCCCUGGAAAGGCCCACAGCUCCUACGAAAGCCUUGUCAAAUAUGUGUGCUUGGGCGACGAAGUGAAUUAUAAUACAACCCUAUAGAUUUAUGGAUAGCAAGGGCAGAGGUUAAUAGCUGGUUCUCAGGAGCUGCCAAGUGUAAACAAACUGGCCUCUUGCAGUCUCCUUACAUACUUGAGCAGCUUUGUGUACUCCUAUCGAUAAAUGUGCUAAGUGGGCAACCUCUCAAUUUGUGGUUUUUCUAUCACAUGUUACUGAGAACGGGGUCAAGGUUAAUUCGUAAGCCAGCUGCGUCAUUAUCAUUUAUCGAGCGAGGGAAUGUGUGCCGCGCGGUCCGUCAUAAGAAGCACCUGAAUAAACAAGGUAUUGAGUGUAUUGGACAGCCACGCACGCAGGAACACACACUGGCGACGGCUGACUGGGAAAGGAGAACGAUGCCAAGGUGGAGGUAAAACAGAAUUGUGGCACGGCGCUCUGAAUGAACCCCAGAGUAACAGAAGAAUAUAUGAUGCUCUCCUCUCAGUGAAAGCACCAUGUAGUUGUUCUUGUUCUGUACUGGACUUAACCCGUUCGCUGCGAUUGGCACGGAUUUCACCUUCACUGGUAGCCUGGUAACACAUACUCCCAGGUCUUUCUCUGCCUCUGUGGUGGGUAGUGGAGUGUUUCCCAUGUGGUAUUGGUGUGCUGGAUAUCCCCUCUCAAGGUGCAGGACUUCACAUUUUUCUUCAUUGAAUUGUAGCAGCCACUUUUUGUUCCAUUCCUGUAGCUUGGUGAUGUCUUCUGGUAGGAAAUCCGCAGUCAAGGGGUUAAGAUAACGACCCCAGGAAAGGAAAACGAAGCCAAGGUAGAGAUCGAAAAUAGCAGUGGAAUGGAGCCUUGAAUGAAACGAAGUAAGGAAAGAAUAUGAUGUUCCCCUCACAUUAAAAAAGAAAAGAAAAAAAGAAAAAGAAACCCACCAUUAAGGGCAUGUAUUUUUUUUUUUUUGUACAUAUCAUAAAACUAACGACCCUGGGAAAGGAAAACGAUGCCAAGAUAAAGACGGAGAAUAGCAGUGUGGCACGGAGCCUUGAAGCAAACGAAGUGUAGAAGAAUAUGCUGUUUCCCUUACAUUAAAGCACCAUUUAGGGCAUAUACCUGUAUUUGUUCUGUUGGGGAUAAAACUAACGACACUACUAGGUUGGUAUUAUAAGACUCUUUCGCUCCUCAUAUUAACUAUUUCUAAAGGUUAAAGAGGGAAUCAGCCGAGUUCUAAUGAGUGGCUCUUUAGGUCCAUGGUGCAGAAGAAGGGUCAGACUGCCACCAGGGUCAUAAAACUACUUCUGGAAAUGCCCAAAGCUCCUACGAAAGCCUUGUCAAAUAGGUGAACUUUGGCGACGGAAUGUUUAGUAAUACGGUCCUGUAAGAAUGUAAAGCGAUGGGUAAAAGAAGAAGAACAGCCUUGAAUCAAACUCGAAGUGAUGGAAAAUUAUGCUGUUCCCCUCAUUAAAAACUUUAUUUACAGCAUGUAGUUUUUCUUGUUCUUGUACCGAGGAUAAAACUAACGACUCUGGGAAUAGAAAACGAUGCCAAGGUGGAGAAGGAGAACAAAACUGUGGGAUGGAGUUGUCGAUGUUAGUUAAAGCAAAGGCCGGCAGAAUAUGUUGCCUUUUUCUCAUUCGGAUCAGCAUUUCGUAGGAGUUUCUUAGGCUUUACAAUGCUACCAUCACUCAUUAUGUUGAUACGAGUCUUUGUUAUACUCAUUAAAAAAAACGAAAAAGACGCCACACGAUAAAACAUGAGUCUGUGAUCCUCAUAAAAAAACGAAAAAGAUGCCACACGAUAAAACA